UGGUGGGGUGAUUUGUCAGUUUGAGGAACACUGCGUGAUCGCGUCAAAGCUUCUUAGAGGGACUUUCUGUAUCUAGCACAAGGAAGUUUGAGGCAAUAACA
RNAcentral lists this ribosomal RNA (101 nucleotides) under uncultured eukaryote. RNAcentral describes it as "partial 18S ribosomal RNA". The record is from RNAcentral.